This 99-nucleotide signal recognition particle RNA is filed under the name [Clostridium] leptum. RNAcentral's name for it is "signal recognition particle sRNA small type". It matches the Rfam family "Bacterial small signal recognition particle RNA". From Rfam's summary of the family: The signal recognition particle (SRP) is a universally conserved ribonucleoprotein involved in the co-translational targeting of proteins to membranes. Archaeal SRP consists of a 7S RNA and homologues of the eukaryotic SRP19 and SRP54 proteins. Lineage: Bacteria; Bacillati; Bacillota; Clostridia; Eubacteriales; Oscillospiraceae. RNAcentral also lists the same sequence under 1 other name. The record is from RNAcentral.
AAGCGGGCCCUGUGCGACAGGGCUCCGUGAACCAUGUCAGGCGGGGAACCGAGCAGCAUUAAGCGGAUGAUUCUGUGCGCCGCAGCAAGCCUGUUUGCC